CUAAGCAUAUUGAUAUUGGUUAUUCUUAUUAUUUGAAAUUACAAGAGUUUAAAUCUUUCAUGACUCCAAGGUGGAUUUGAUGGGCCCCUCUUUGGUUAGUUUUGGUCAAAUUUUCAUGGGGCAUGUAAUGCCACGCAAAGUAACAUAGGAGACAUAGAGAGUUCGAUUAUAGACGUAGAUGAGAGUAAAAAGUGGUCGC
This 199-nucleotide long non-coding RNA is filed under the name Gossypium barbadense (sea-island cotton). Its description in RNAcentral is "long non-coding RNA (GBAR_LNC003250)". Lineage: Eukaryota; Viridiplantae; Streptophyta; Magnoliopsida; Malvales; Malvaceae. The record is from RNAcentral.